CUUCAGCCUCCCCCAGUCGCUAGCCCGAAAGGCGCUCCCUCCUGGUCGCGGCCGGGCAGGCACAGGUGGCCUGGAAAAUUGCUAAUUGAGCAACACAAACCUCUCCAGGGCCCAGGGCCCGGCCCUAACCAAGGAAGGAACCAUUACCAACGCCCGAGGUCACUGGUGAUCGCGCAUUUUCUACAGCAAAGCCUGGCAGGAUCCUAACCGGUUCGAGAGGCGCUACGAACCUCAAGUUCGAUGGCCGCAGACUUGACCACACUUUCAAGGACGCCUGGGCGCCUUCCUUGCGUUCCCCUUCGGGGGACCCACCCCGCCCGGCAUCCGGGAAAGCGCCCCUUUCUCUCCGGGCGGCCAGACCCGGUCCAGCCCGGCACCCCCGGCUGUCCACCUGCGGGAGGGGGCAGCGUCACCCCGCCCGGACUCCCGGAGGUCCCGGCAGAGGAGCGGCCUGUGGCGGCCGCCCAGUCCUACCUGCGGGGCUGUGGACGGCAGCCUGGGCGCGCUGGUGGUCAGCCAUCCCGCGGCUGGCAGCGCCACGAACAGCAACAGCCGGACGGGCAGCGGCGCCGACAGGGCGCCCUCCAUCUUGGACAACACCGGCGCCGGGCGGCGGGAGGAUCUCGAAACAGUAGCGUAGGCUAGCCUUGAACUACUUACUGAUCCUGCUGCGUCGACCUCCUCAGUGCUGGAAUUGCAGACGUGUGCCACCCUCUCACCUCAACCUUGAUGGUGCUUUUUCAUUACUAUCAAUAUGUUCAUAUACUUACAAGCACAACUAGUGUCUUAUAAACUGACAGGAAUGAAAAAUAAAAAGUUAGCACUUGGA
Molecule: long non-coding RNA, 829 nt
Filed under: Mus pahari (shrew mouse)
Lineage: Eukaryota; Metazoa; Chordata; Mammalia; Rodentia; Muridae
Description: RIKEN cDNA B430219N15 gene (MGP_PahariEiJ_G0003097.1)
Source: RNAcentral